UACGUAGGGCGCGGGCGUUAUCCGGAAUUAUUGGGCGUAAAGAGCUCGUAGGCGGUUUGUCACGUCUGCUGUGAAAACUGGAGGCUCAACCUCCAGCCUGCAGUGGGUACGGGCAGACUAGAGUGCGGUAGGGGAGAUUGGAAUUCCUGGUGUAGCGGUGGAAUGCGCAGAUAUCAGGAGGAACACCGAUGGCGAAGGCAGAUCUCUGGGCCGUAACUGACGCUGAGGAGCGAAAGCAUGGGGAGCGAACAGG
Molecule: ribosomal RNA, 253 nt
Filed under: uncultured bacterium
Lineage: Bacteria
Description: partial 16S ribosomal RNA
Rfam family: Bacterial small subunit ribosomal RNA
Source: RNAcentral